RNA transcript from Bufo bufo (common toad), 1307 nucleotides. It is a transcript of the gene named NSE4 homolog A, SMC5-SMC6 complex component, with no coding region annotated. Lineage: Eukaryota; Metazoa; Chordata; Amphibia; Anura; Bufonidae. The record is from RefSeq and is a predicted model, not a curated record. The transcript is spliced from 10 exons.
CUCUACGUCAUCGCCCCAACCGCGAACUGCUGUAUUCCAGCCCCGACUUGUCCUGUUCCGAGAAGCGGCAAAGUGUGAACGGCGAGCGCGGUACCGAGAUGUCCCGAAGGAGGUCACCUGUCGACGAGGAGGAGAAUGACGACAUUAACGACAUCACGGAGGACUUUGAGGUUGAGCAAGACGAUGCAAACCGGCGUCAAAUCCGACAUCAGUACCGGGAGCUGAUGCAGAGCAUGCACCAGAACCGAGAAGACAUGCUGAGCUCCAGAAGUAACAAGCUCACGGACACUCUCCAUGCUGCCAAUCAGCUCUUUGCAGAAGUCUCCAAGCCUAGAGAAGCUGCACUCGAUGCUCAGUUACUCGUUUUGGCAACCAAUCUCGGGAAGGAAAAGGCCAAUCAGCUCCAAGCAGACAUGACGGUUUUCGACCCAACAUCAUUUUCUGAAGACCUGCUUUCAUUCAUGGGCAUAAAUCGGCUGGAAAAUCCAGACAGUGACAGUGAAGAUGAAGGUUGUGCCAAGGGGUAUCUUGGGGUGGAUGCCUGGCAAAAACUGGGAACUGAAGCCAAUAAAUUCUUCAAAAGAACACCUACCUUCCAUUUCAUGUUAGGCUCAUUUAAGACUGAACCUCCAGUUGCUCGGCAGAAGAUAGAGCGUCAAAAGAGGGCUAGUAAAGUCGCGGAGAAGAGCGUGAUGCCAUCGCAGCUGAAGAAAAUGGAAGAGUCUCACCAAGAGGCUACAGAGAAGGAAGUCGAAAGGAUUUUAGGGUUUCUGCAAACUUACUUCAGAGAGGAUCCGGAUAAUCCUAUAUCCUUUUUUGAUUUCGUAAUUGAUCCAAAUUCUUUUGCUCGUACAGUUGAGAACAUCUUUCAUGUCUCCUUUAUCAUUCGGGAUGGUUUUGCAAGAAUAAAGCUUGAUUCAGAUAAACUGCCAGUAAUAGGAAAUAGUUGAAACGUUUGAAAUUGAACAACCUAUGAUACCUCCCCCAUGAACAGCAAGACGGUCCAGCUUCAUGUUUUGAAAAAGUCUUUACCUUGCUAAAUAUCCUUUCUGUUAUUCAAAGCAUCUGUAAAUUGUUAUAAAUGUAAUAAAUGGCAAAAAUUUUAUUAUGUAUAUAGUUUGUACAUAUAUGUCAAAUAUUUUAUGAACCAUAUUGUAUGGCAUUUAUAUAGUUAAGAAAACGACCUUCUACCUGAAUGUUGCAAACAACUAUAUUUAUUUUACAUUUGCUACAAAAGUGUUUUAAUUUUUGUAAAUUCUAGGAACAUUUUGUAUUCUGAGUUUGAAAAUCCAAAUAAACAAGUUUAC